UGACUGGUAUUUGAGUUGUUUGGGAUGGCGGGCUCCUUGCUUUGAGCAUCGAACCGUCGUCUUUCAACUCUCUUCAGUGGUGCCUUGCCUACGGUGACGGUGAAGACCGAGUUCUUGUGUUGCGUACCCACAUCGUGGAAUAAUCAGGUUCGGUGAAUGUUUUCUCCGUGUUCCCUCCUAGGGUGUGCGGUGGACAUUGUGGUUGCUCACGGGUUCCAGAUUCGCACUUGCAGUGUGAGUUGUGGCCCUCGUCGGCUGCCCGUGCUCUCGGAUGCCGAAAAUGAUGCGGCCAUGGGGAUUUUCAUCCUCGACGGUUGGCCCGACCCUUCGAAAUGAUUCCAAACGACUGCGUCUGCCUUUGCUUGGUGCUCUGGCAUCGAGCGAGGCGGAUGCAUCGAACGU
This 402-nucleotide unclassified non-coding RNA is filed under the name Linum bienne. Its description in RNAcentral is "partial external transcribed spacer". The record is from RNAcentral. Lineage: Eukaryota; Viridiplantae; Streptophyta; Magnoliopsida; Malpighiales; Linaceae.